AGUGAACGCUGGCGGUAUGCCUAACACAUGCAAGUCGAACGGCAGCACAGUAAGAGCUUGCUCUUACGGUUGGCGAGUGGCGGACGGGUGAGGAAUACAUCGGAAUCUACUUUUUCGUGGGGGAUAACGUAGGGAAACUUACGCUAAUACCGCAUACGACCUACGGGUGAAAUCAGGGGAUCUUCGGACCUUGCGCGAUUGAAUUAGCCGAUGUCGGAUUAGCUAGUUGGCUGGGUAAAGGCCCACCAAGGCGACGAUCCGUAGCUGGUCUGAGAGGAUGAUCAGCCACACUGGAACUGAGACACGGUCCAGACUCCUACGGGAGGCAGCAGUGGGGAAUCUUGGACAAUGGGCGAAAGCCUGACCCAGCAACACCGCGUGGGUGAAGAAGGCCUUCGGGUUGUAAAGCCCUUUUGUUGGGAAAGAAAAGCAGCAGGUUAAUCCACCGCUGUUCUGACGGUACCCAAAGAAUAAGCAACGGCUAACUUCGUG
Molecule: ribosomal RNA, 492 nt
Filed under: uncultured bacterium
Lineage: Bacteria
Description: partial 16S ribosomal RNA
Rfam family: Bacterial small subunit ribosomal RNA
Source: RNAcentral